CGGGGUGUAGCUCAGCGGUAGAGCGCUUCGUGCCUGCGACGGAGAGGUCGAAGGUCCAAUUCCUUCCACUCCGA
RNAcentral lists this transfer RNA (74 nucleotides) under Candidatus Peregrinibacteria bacterium CG10_big_fil_rev_8_21_14_0_10_49_10. RNAcentral describes it as "tRNA-OTHER". It matches the Rfam family "tRNA". Rfam says of the family: Transfer RNA (tRNA) molecules are approximately 80 nucleotides in length. Their secondary structure includes four short double-helical elements and three loops (D, anti-codon, and T loops). Further hydrogen bonds mediate the characteristic L-shaped molecular structure. tRNAs have two regions of fundamental functional importance: the anti-codon, which is responsible for specific mRNA codon recognition, and the 3' end, to which the tRNAs corresponding amino acid is attached (by aminoacyl-tRNA synthetases). tRNAs cope with the degeneracy of the genetic code in two manners: having more than one tRNA (with a specific anti-codon) for a particular amino acid; and 'wobble' base-pairing, i.e. permitting non-standard base-pairing at the 3rd anti-codon position. The record is from RNAcentral. Lineage: Bacteria; Candidatus Peregrinibacteriota.